RNAcentral lists this long non-coding RNA (1028 nucleotides) under Neodiprion lecontei (redheaded pine sawfly). RNAcentral's name for it is "uncharacterized LOC124293306, transcript variant X1". Lineage: Eukaryota; Metazoa; Arthropoda; Insecta; Hymenoptera; Diprionidae. The record is from RNAcentral.
GUUAAGAUACCCACACACGCAGAGCGUGUAACACCUCAGGCAUACAGGAUUAUCCCCUCUCCCGGCCAUCUCAUUAUCCACAUAUAUACUUGAGCUCUAUGAAUUGUAUUCAUUCGUACUCAGUCUACUGAAGCGUCCAGUCCGUAAUAAACCUUGUUCUCCAUAAGAUUGCCUCUCCCGCGUUUCAUUUUCCUAACAAUAUAAUUAAUUAAAUAAUUAAUCAUAUAAUAAAUUCUAUUAGCGUAUUCGUAGCUACUGAAUUUCUGCUCGCGCAAAAAAUGCCCCGUGGUUCCUGCGCUCCAGGUCCUUGACCUGGUGACUUUUGACCUUCAAGACUAAUUUUCCGUAGUUCUGGCUGUCCAGGUCCAUGACCUGAUGACUUUUGACCUUCCGGACUAAUUUUCAAGUUUACAAAUUAUAUUAUUGAAAACGUAAUGUUUUGUGCUAUCAAACCAAUAUGCGUGCUUCAGAUAACAUUUUGAAUCGGAAAAAAAAUCGAACGACCAGGAUCAACAAAUUGCAAUUGAUAGAAAUUACGCACUUCAUCUUUCCUGCCAAUUCGAGAUUCUAGCGGCGAGGCGCUUCAAUGGCCGGCUAAUACCUUCGCCAUUUUGCGACAAUUUAUAAUGAGUACAUUUUUCUUGUACUGUCCGAAUGUGUUUUAAUAUACACUCGAAAUUUUAAAAAGCAUCGUUAGUUAUCUCCCGUUGGAAAAAAUAACCAACAAUCAACGUUUCGCUUAAAAAUUAUGCUAUGCUGCUAUUUCUGCACAAUUUCGAGGUGUAACCCGAGGUGGUUGGAGAUGGUUAAGCGUGGUUAGUGGUGGUCAGGGUGAACGGGAGGGAGGACGAGGAAGACGAGGAGAACAAGGGGGACAAGGAGGACGAGGAUUUGUGCUCGGCAUAACCCGAGGUGAUUAUCGGUGGUUGUUGGAGGUGGUUGGCGGUGGUUAAAGGUGGUCGGAGGUGGACGAGGAGGAGGACGAGGAAGACGAGGAAAACAAGGUGGACGAGGAGGACGAGGAUUUG